CGGGGGGGGCAAGCGUUGUUCGGAAUUACUGGGCGCAAAGGGCUCGUAGGCGGCCAACUAAGUCGGAUGUGAAAUCCCCAAGCUUAACUUGGGAACUGCAUCCGAUACUGGAUGGCUUGAAUCCGGGAGAGGGAUGCAGAAUUCCAGGUGUAGCGGUGAAAUGCGUAGAUAUCUGGAGGAAUACCGGUGGCGAAGGCGGCAUCCUGGACCGGCAUUGACGCUGAUGAGCGAAAGCUAGGGGAGCAAACGGGAUUAGAUACCCCGGUAGUCCUAGCCCUAAACGAUGAAUGCUUGGUGUGGCGGGUAUCGAUCCCUGCCGUGCCGAAGCUAACGCAUUAAGCAUUCCGCCUGGGGAGUACGGUCGCAAGGCUG
RNAcentral lists this ribosomal RNA (372 nucleotides) under uncultured organism. RNAcentral's name for it is "bacterial SSU rRNA". It matches the Rfam family "Bacterial small subunit ribosomal RNA", at positions 526 to 896 of the family's 1533-position model. The record is from RNAcentral.